Molecule: long non-coding RNA, 888 nt
Organism: Phacochoerus africanus (Common warthog)
Lineage: Eukaryota; Metazoa; Chordata; Mammalia; Artiodactyla; Suidae
Exons: 2
Source: RefSeq, a predicted model, not a curated record
UUUAUUGGCGGCCAAGAGCCCUGCGGCCCACCCACCACGCGCCCUCCCGCCGGGGCUCAGAAGAUCUUCACGAGCUCCAGCUGCAGGUCGCCGCCCACCUCCACCGCACGCACGCGCGUCGGCGGCAUCCGGUGGCGGAAGUGGUGGUAUUCCAGGUCCCCGACCACCACCUGCAGGCGCGGGGAAGCAGGACUUAAGAGUCAUCCCCGACUCCCCCCCACGCCUUGUGACCCGGGCGCCCACGGAACCCCGCCAGGGCCCAAGGGCCCCACUGGGGAAACGGGGCUACUGUUUUCUGUCCCUUUGCCGUGAGGAUUAAAUGAGUUCAUCGCUGACACAUCCUCCCAGAGGACGUCCGGAGUCCUGAAAAUAGACAGACCUGGGCGGCCACCACCCCAGUCGUUUCAGCCCCUCAAACAGCCAGCCCCCCUCCACCUGCCCCGGGAAGCUGUCAUUCCUCAGCAACCAGGAGCCGCCGGGCUCACCUGCAGGAGAACACAGAGGGUUGAGCAGCGGGCUGUCGGCAGACCUUCCCUCCUUCAGAAAUCAUCCAGCCCAAAAGUGCCACCUGCACCCACGGGGGUUGUAGGAACUGACAAUCCCGGGCUCUGUCCGCUUCUUGGUGACGGCAGGUUGGGUUUUCAUUCACAGCGAAGAUAAUUCAGGGGCUGCUCUGGGUAUUGCGCGUCAGUUUACAACUGAGGAAAAUGACAAUUUAAAAAGUCUGACAUUUUUUUUAAGCUAGGAAGCCCACUGGAAACCUUUAGGUUCUAUUUAUAGGGUACAUUGUACCGAUACAGUCACUUGCUAUGGAAAAGCAUUUUCUGUCACGCUUGGUUCCAUUGAUCAACUGAGUUCAUUAAACCGUCUUGAAUAUUUUAAUCAGCA